RNAcentral lists this ribosomal RNA (495 nucleotides) under uncultured bacterium. Its description in RNAcentral is "partial 16S ribosomal RNA". It matches the Rfam family "Bacterial small subunit ribosomal RNA", at positions 28 to 507 of the family's 1533-position model. The record is from RNAcentral.
GACGAACGCUGGCGGCGUGCCUAAUACAUGCCAGUAGAACGCUGAAGGAGGAGCUUGCUUCUCUGGAUGAGUUGCGAACGGGUGAGUAACGCGUAGGUAACCUGCCUGGUAGCGGGGGAUAACUAUUGGAAACGAUAGCUAAUACCGCAUAAGAGUAGAUGUUGCAUGACAUUUACUUAAAAGGUGCAAUUGCAUCACUACCAGAUGGACCUGCGUUGUAUUAGCUAGUUGGUGAGGUAACGGCUCACCAAGGCAACGAUACAUAGCCGACCUGAGAGGGUGAUCGGCCACACUGGGACUGAGACACGGCCCAGACUCCUACGGGAGGCAGCAGUAGGGAAUCUUCGGCAAUGGACGGAAGUCUGACCGAGCAACGCCGCGUGAGUGAAGAAGGGUUUCGGAUCGUAAAGCUCUGUUGUAAGAGAAGAACGAGUGUGAGAGUGGAAAGUUCACACUGUGACGGUAUCUUACCAGAAAGGGACGGCUAACUACGUG